AACUGCACAAGAACAACAACAACUAGUGUAGCUAACUCUUCAGCAAAUAUACACGAGACUAUAAAUUUGUUAGGGUGACAUAUAAUGUAAAUUAGCAUGGGUCUAGUUUUAGAAAACACUAAUAAGCUAAAAACAACUUUUAGGUAUAAAAAUUAUGAUAUUACGGUGAAAACUCAAGUGAAGUCAACUUCACGUGAAGUUGAUAUCUGAAAGCCGUUAGAUGAAAAUUUAGUCAAAUCAGUCAAAUCAUCUAACAGCUCUCAGAUAUCAACUUCACGUGAAGUCAACUGCACCUGAGUUUCCACCUGAUAUUAUACUUCUCUUAUUCAAAAUGUUUAAACGGAUAAAUUACAUCACAUCACAUGGUAUGAAUUAUGGAAUACUUGAACAGAGAGCCAUUGUUUUUGAAAUGCCCAUCACUGAGAAAGAUGUUGUUAAAUUAUUAGCUUAAAAAAAUUGAAUUGAUAAUUAAAAAUAAUGACUAAAAAAUAAAUUUUAAUGGUCUUUUAAUAUUUUUUUAUACUUGAAAAUGAAUAAAUGGUAGCUGCAAACUUCACCCAAUUUUUUUUUGUGUCUACACAAACACAUCUUUGUUAUCUAACCAAUCAUUUAUUUAUUUAUUUUUUUGGAUUUAUCAUUUAUUUAUUCUAUGUCGACAUAUAUUAUGAACAAUCAAUCCAUUGAUAGGUGAUAGGUGACUGCUAUGGUACUUUUGGUUUUGUUCACUUUUGCCUAAUUUACCAAAAAAAUAAAACAAUUUAAACACCAAAAUAAAAAAAAAAUCAUAGAAUUGGCCCAUUGAUAUUGGACCUGCACUUGUGAUAGUGAACGGUGGUAUGUUGACUCUGAGUCAACAUCUAUUUUUAAUAGAAAAAUAAAAAAUUAUAUACUAUUAAUUUNNN
Molecule: long non-coding RNA, 902 nt
Filed under: Arachis ipaensis
Lineage: Eukaryota; Viridiplantae; Streptophyta; Magnoliopsida; Fabales; Fabaceae
Description: long non-coding RNA (AIPA_LNC001040)
Source: RNAcentral